This 253-nucleotide ribosomal RNA is filed under the name uncultured bacterium. RNAcentral describes it as "partial 16S ribosomal RNA". It matches the Rfam family "Bacterial small subunit ribosomal RNA", at positions 524 to 776 of the family's 1533-position model. The record is from RNAcentral.
UACGAAGGGGGCUAGCGUUGCUCGGAAUCACUGGGCGUAAAGCGCACGUAGGCGGAUUGCUAAGUCAGGGGUGAAAUCCUGGAGCUCAACUCCAGAACUGCCCUUGAUACUGGCGGUCUCGAGUCCGGGAGAGGUGAGUGGAACUGCGAGUGUAGAGGUGAAAUUCGUAGAUAUUCGCAAGAACACCAGUGGCGAAGGCGGCUCUCUGGGACGGUACUGACGCUGAGACGCGAAAGCGUGGGGAGCAAACAGG